CAAAGAAAAUAGAACAUCUCUCCAUUAAAGAAGGUAGAAGCUGUGAUUUUCUGUCAAAGCACAUCAGUUUUCUGUUUGUGUUCACCAUGAAAGUCUGCAGUUAGCUAACCUAGCCCUAAGAUGGAGGCGUGCUAAGCUAACCAAGUGUCCAAAAAAAACCCCAAAAUAUUCAGUUUACUGUCAUUUAUGGCAAAGUAAAACUGCACAAAAGAAGUUAAAACCUGUUAUUUUCUGUCAAAACACAACAAAUUUCCUCAGUUUUCAUCUUGAAAAGCAGCUGUUAGCUGCAGAUGCUAACUCAGAGGCUAAUUCUGCCGUUUGCUGUCCUCCGAUCAGUGUUUUUGCUUUUUGCUGACAUUUCCUGAAACCACAACUGAGUGCAAAGUUUCCAUGAAGCAGAAUCAGGUUCAAUAAUCCUGGAUUCUUCCUGUAAAUGUCUCAUCAGCUCGUAGAUCGUAGCCGCCACUCGUCCGUCUCAAGCUCGGCUGCAUGUUCGGUUAGCGGUGAACAGAAACCACGACUCUGGCUUAGAGGCUGACGAUCAGAUUUUGUAAUAUUCCCUCCUUCCUCCUCCUCCUCCUCCUCCUUCUCCUCCUCCUCCUCCAUGUCCUCGUAAACAGUUUUCAGAUCCCCCUGCAUCUCCGGGGCAGUGAAGGCAUCGUGUUGCCUUCAGUGUCCACGUCGUCGUCCUGCUUCUGGGUGUUUUUAAAAAAGAUCAAACGAGAAAAAAAAAAACAAAACAAGAAAUAAAGGUUGUGAAACGUCUCGGGCCUUGUGUACAGCGGAAUGCUUUCCAGAAAACAACCACCGGAUCAUCGAUAACAGACUAAAAAUGUACAAAACUGUUUAUUCAAGUGUUUGCUUUUACUUUUCGUAAAUUCAGUAUAAUAAAUAAGUUAAUGGCUGCUG
This is a long non-coding RNA of Stegastes partitus (bicolor damselfish), 909 nucleotides long. RefSeq lists it as uncharacterized. Lineage: Eukaryota; Metazoa; Chordata; Actinopteri; Pomacentridae. The transcript has 2 exons. The record is from RefSeq and is a predicted model, not a curated record.